This 423-nucleotide ribosomal RNA is filed under the name uncultured archaeon. RNAcentral describes it as "partial 16S ribosomal RNA". It matches the Rfam family "Archaeal small subunit ribosomal RNA", at positions 323 to 746 of the family's 1478-position model. The record is from RNAcentral.
CUACGGGUUGCUGCAGUUGCGAAUCAUUUACAAUGCACGAAAGUGUGAUAAUGCGAACCAAAGUGCGUUUCUUUUUGAAACGCUUUUGCUUACCGUAAAAAUGUAGGCGAAUAAGGACUGGGAAAGGCCGGUGCCAGCCGCCGCGGUAAUACCGGCAGUUCUAGUUGCAUCCAACAUUAUUGGGUCUAAAACAUCCGUAGCUUGUUAUCUAAGUCUCUUGUGAAAUCUCACGUCUCAAGCGUGAGGCUUGCGGGAGAUACUGGAUAGCUAGAGAUCGGUAGACGUAAAGAGUACGCUGGAGGUAGUGGUAAAAUACGUUAAUCUUCGGUGGACUAACAAUUAGCGAAGGCACUUUACGAGGACGAAUCUGACAGUGAGGGAUGAAGGCCAGGGGCGCAAAACGGAUUAGAUACCCCAGUAGUC